RNAcentral lists this ribosomal RNA (327 nucleotides) under Kokeshia sp. NKU02. RNAcentral describes it as "12S ribosomal RNA". Lineage: Eukaryota; Metazoa; Arthropoda; Insecta; Hemiptera; Schizopteridae. The record is from RNAcentral.
GAUUAGUAUAUACUUUAAAUAUAAGUUUAUAUAUCGCUGUUUAGAGUGUUUUAAAAGGAAAAUUAUCAGUUAAUUAUUAUUAAAUUAUAAAGCAGGUCAAGAUGUAGUAUGUUAAAGAAUUAGUGGGUUACUACGAUAUACAUAUUUUAUAGAAAAUUACAUUUAGAAUGUAUAAAUAUUUGAAUUAGGAUUUAAUAGUAAAUUUUAUUAAUAUAUUUUAUUAUUGAAUAAAGGACUAGAUUAUGUACAUAUCGCCCGUCACUCUUGUUAUAAAUAUAAGAUAAGUCGUAACAAAGUAGUUUUACUGGAAGGUGUGCUUAGGUAGUA